Molecule: ribosomal RNA, 570 nt
Filed under: uncultured bacterium
Lineage: Bacteria
Description: bacterial SSU rRNA
Rfam family: Bacterial small subunit ribosomal RNA
Source: RNAcentral
GUUUGAUCAUGGCUCAGAGCGAACGCUGGCGGCAGGCCUAACACAUGCAAGUCGAGCGCCCCGCAAGGGGAGCGGCAGACGGGAGAGUAACACGUGGGAACGUACCCUUUGGUUCGGAACAACCCAGGGAAACUUGGGCUAAUACCGAAUAAGCCCUUACGGGGAAAGAUUUAUCGCCGAAGGAUCGGCCCGCGUCUGAUUAGCUAGUUGGUGAGGUAACGGCUCACCAAGGCGACGAUCAGUAGCUGGUCUGAGAGGAUGAUCAGCCUCACUGGGACUGAGACACGGCCCAGACUCCUACGGGAGGCAGCAGUGGGGAAUAUUGGACAAUGGGCGCAAGCCUGAUCCAGCCAUGCCGCGUGGGUGAUGAAGGCCCUAGGGUUGUAAAGCCCUUUCGGCGGGGAAGAUAAUGACGGUACCCGCAGAAGAAGCCCCGGCUAACUUCGUGCCAGCAGCCGCGGUAAUACGAAGGGGGCUAGCGUUGCUCGGAAUCACUGGGCGUAAAGCGCACGUAGGCGGAUUGCUAAGUCAGGGGUUAAAUCCUGGAGCUCAACUCCAGAACUGCCUUUG